AAUAAGACCCUAGUAAAAUAUUAUGUAGCCUUGUCAGAGCUAAGUUAUAGGUUAAUUCCCUGUGAGUCUUA
Molecule: transfer RNA, 71 nt
Filed under: Dibamus novaeguineae
Lineage: Eukaryota; Metazoa; Chordata; Lepidosauria; Squamata; Dibamidae
Description: tRNA-Asp
Source: RNAcentral